AGAGUUUGAUCCUGGCUCAGGACGAACGCUGGCGGCGCGCCUAACACAUGCAAGUCGAACGGAGCUGAGAGGAGCUUGCUUUUCUUAGCUUAGUGGCGAACGGGUGAGUAACGCGUGAGUAACCUGCCCUGGAGUGGGGGACAACAGUUGGAAACGACUGCUAAUACCGCAUAAGCCCACGAUCCGGCAUCGGAUUGAGGGAAAAGGAUUUAUUCGCUUCAGGAUGGACUCGCGUCCAAUUAGCUAGUUGGUGAGGUAACGGCCCACCAAGGCGACGAUUGGUAGCCGGACUGAGAGGUUGAACGGCCACAUUGGGACUGAGACACGGCCCAGACUCCUACGGGAGGCAGCAGUGGGGGAUAUUGCACAAUGGGGGAAACCCUGAUGCAGCGACGCCGCGUGGAGGAAGAAGGUUUUCGGAUUGUAAACUCCUGUCGUUAGGGACGAUAAUGACGGUACCUAACAAGAAAGCACCGGCUAACUACGUGCCAGCAGCCGCGGUAAAACGUAGGGUGCAAGCGUUGUCCGGAAUUACUGGGUGUAAAGGGAGCGCAGGCGGACCGGCAAGUUGGAAGUGAAAACUAUGGGCUCAACCCAUAAAUUGCUUUCAAAACUGCUGGCCUUGAGUAGUGCAGAGGUAGGUGGAAUUCCCGGUGUAGCGGUGGAAUGCGUAGAUAUCGGGAGGAACACCAGUGGCGAAGGCGACCUACUGGGCACCAACUGACGCUGAGGCUCGAAAGCAUGGGUAGCAAACAGGAUUAGAUACCCUGGUAGUCCAUGCCGUAAACGAUGAUUACUAGGUGUUGGAGGAUUGACCCCUUCAGUGCCGCAGUUAACACAAUAAGUAAUCCACCUGGGGAGUACGACCGCAAGGUUGAAACUCAAAGGAAUUGACUU
This 897-nucleotide ribosomal RNA is filed under the name uncultured bacterium. RNAcentral describes it as "bacterial SSU rRNA". It matches the Rfam family "Bacterial small subunit ribosomal RNA", at positions 8 to 916 of the family's 1533-position model. The record is from RNAcentral.